GGGGGAUAAAUUAAUAAAGUAUAAAUAAUAAAAGAAUUUUUAAUAUUAAAUAACUUAAUGGGGGUUAAAGUAUAUUUAAUAGAAAAAAUUGAAAAAAUUUAUAGUAAAUUAGUAUUGUAAAAGAAAUUUGAAAUAUAUUGAAAAUAAAUUUAUGUAAAAGUAAAUUUAAUUUAUUGUAUCUUGUGUAUCAGAGUUUAUUAAUAAUAUUUUUUAUUUAAAAAUUUUCUCGAAUUUAAAAGAGAUAAUUAAUUAUUAAAGUUAAUGUUGAAUAAUUAUUUUAAAUAAUUAAUUUGAAAUGAAAUGUUAAUCGUUUUUAAAUAUAUCUAGUUUUUUUAGAAAAAAAUUUAAUUUUAAAUUUUAGAAUAUGUAUAAUUUUAAUUAGUUAAAAUUAUAUUUUUAAAAUUAAAUAUUUUAAGGGAUAAGCUUUAAAAUAAAUUUUUAUAAUAAAUUUUUAUAAUAAUUAAAAUUUUUAAAAUUUAUAUUGUUUAUAAAUUAUAAUUUUUUAUAAAUAAUUUUAAUUUAAUUAAAAUUUAAAAUUUAUUUAAUUUAUUUUUAUAAAAAAAUGUUUUAUAAUAAUUUAAAUUUAGAUAUAAUGAUAAAAUUAGUAUAUAAUUAAAUGAAAAUAAUUUAUUUUUUGAUAAUUUGAUAAAAGGAAUUCGGCAAAAAUUUAUAUUCACUUGUUUAUCAAAAACAUGUCUUUUUGAUUAAUAAUUUAAAGUCUAAUCUGCCCACUGAUAUAAUAUUAAAGGGCUGCAGUAUUUUGACUGUACAAAGGUAGCAUAAUCAUUAGUCUCUUAAUUGGUGACUUGUAUGAAAGAUUUGAUGAAAUAUAUACUGUCUCUUUUUGAUUUGUAAAAUUUAAUUUUUUAGUUAAAAAGCUAAAAUAUGUUUAAAAGACGAGAAGACCCUAUAGAGUUUUAUAUUUAUAUAAAUUAAAAUUUUUUGUAAGAUUUAAAAUUUUGAUAUAUUUAAAUAUUAUGUUGGGGUGAUGAAAAAAUUUGAAUAACUUUUUUUAUAAAUUAAACAUUUAUUGAUGAAUAUUUGAUCCGUAAUUUACGAUUAUAAGAAAAAAUUACCUUAGGGAUAACAGCGUAAUUUUUUUUUUAGUUCAAAUAAGAAUUAAAGUUUGCGACCUCGAUGUUGGAUUAAGAUAAAAUUUAAAUGCAAAAGUUUAAAAUUUUUGAUCUGUUCGAUCAUUAAAAUCUUACAUGAUCUGAGUUCAAACCGGUGUAAGCCAGGUUGGUUUCUAUCUUUAAAUUUAUAAAAUAUUUUAGUACGAAAGGAUCAGAUAUUUAAAAUAAUUUUAUAAAAUAAGAAUUUUAAUAAUAGUAUAUAAAUAU
RNAcentral lists this ribosomal RNA (1340 nucleotides) under Parnassius cephalus. RNAcentral describes it as "16S ribosomal RNA". The stretch from base 1133 to 1241 matches the Rfam family "Eukaryotic large subunit ribosomal RNA", at positions 2876 to 2984 of the family's 3401-position model. Lineage: Eukaryota; Metazoa; Arthropoda; Insecta; Lepidoptera; Papilionidae. The record is from RNAcentral.